This 253-nucleotide ribosomal RNA is filed under the name uncultured bacterium. RNAcentral's name for it is "partial 16S ribosomal RNA". It matches the Rfam family "Bacterial small subunit ribosomal RNA", at positions 524 to 776 of the family's 1533-position model. The record is from RNAcentral.
UACGUAGGGUGCGAGCGUUGUCCGGAAUUAUUGGGCGUAAAGGGCUCGUAGGCGGUCUGUUGCGUCAGGAGUGAAAACUCGGGGCUUAACCCCGAGCCUGCUUCUGAUACGGGCAGACUAGAGGUAUGCAGGGGAGAACGGAAUUCCUGGUGUAGCGGUGAAAUGCGCAGAUAUCAGGAGGAACACCGGUGGCGAAGGCGGCGUUCUGGACUGCAACUGACACUGAGGAACGAAAGCCAGGGGAGCAAACGGG